UUGCUCCUACGGGAGGCAGCAGUGGGGAAUAUUGCACAAUGGGGGAAACCCUGAUGCAGCAACGCCGCGUGAGUGAAGAAGUCAUUCGUGAUGUAAAGCUCUAUCAGCAGGGAAGAAAAUGACGGUACCUGACUAAGAAGCCCCGGCUAACUACGUGCCAGCAGCCGCGGUAAUACGUAGGGGGCAAGCGUUAUCCGGAUUUACUGGGUGUAAAGGGAGCGUAGACGGCGACGCAAGUCUGAAGUGAAAUGCCAGUGCUCAACACUGGAACUGCUUUGGAAACUGUGAAGCUAGAGUGCAGGAGG
RNAcentral lists this ribosomal RNA (305 nucleotides) under uncultured bacterium. Its description in RNAcentral is "bacterial SSU rRNA". It matches the Rfam family "Bacterial small subunit ribosomal RNA", at positions 333 to 655 of the family's 1533-position model. The record is from RNAcentral.